CGACCGGGACGGCCCGGUCACUUCCCUGGGGCAUAGCCGGGACGACCUGG
Molecule: non-coding RNA, 50 nt
Filed under: Rhizobium sp.
Lineage: Bacteria; Pseudomonadati; Pseudomonadota; Alphaproteobacteria; Hyphomicrobiales; Rhizobiaceae
Description: Guanidine-II sequence
Rfam family: Guanidine-II riboswitch aptamer (mini-ykkC)
About the family: Simpler in structure and has fewer highly conserved nucleotide positions than the ykkC-yxkD leader.
Source: RNAcentral